RNAcentral lists this ribosomal RNA (253 nucleotides) under uncultured bacterium. Its description in RNAcentral is "partial 16S ribosomal RNA". It matches the Rfam family "Bacterial small subunit ribosomal RNA", at positions 524 to 776 of the family's 1533-position model. The record is from RNAcentral.
UACGUAGGGUGCAAGCGUUGUCCGGAAUUAUUGGGCGUAAAGAGCUCGUAGGCGGUUUGUCGCGUCGAAUGUGAAAACCCGGGGCUCAACCCCGGGCCUGCAUUCGAUACGGGCAGACUAGAGUUCGGUAGGGGAGUCUGGAAUUCCUGGUGUAGCGGUGAAAUGCGCAGAUAUCAGGAGGAACACCGGUGGCGAAGGCGGGACUCUGGGCCGAUACUGACGCUGAGGAGCGAAAGCUAGGGGAGCAAACAGG